GGUUUGUGGCUCAGUGGUAGAACGCUCACCUAGCAUGUGCAAGGCCCUGGGUUCAAUCCUCAACACCA
RNAcentral lists this transfer RNA (68 nucleotides) under Marmota monax (woodchuck). Its description in RNAcentral is "tRNA.Ala". Lineage: Eukaryota; Metazoa; Chordata; Mammalia; Rodentia; Sciuridae. The record is from RNAcentral.